UCUUCAGGGUAUCAUAUAUAUAUAUAUAUAUAUAUAUACAUAUAUAUAUACACACACACACAUAUAUAUAUACACACACAUAUAUAUGUAUAUACAUAUAUAUAUGAUUAGGUUUUAUUUUAUUUAUUUUUGUAUAACUAUAUAACAUUGUGCAGAAUAUUCUAGUUGUGGAGCAUCAGAAGGCAAGAAGGCAAACAAAAAGGUAGAAGAAAAGAAAGAAGGAAGGAAGUAGGGAGAAAGAACUUGUAGAGAAGGAUAUAAGGAAGCUGUAGAUAAAAGAUGCAAAGAAGAGACAGGGGGAAGAGAAAAUGAACAGGAAAAAAAAAGAGAGAGAAGAGAGAGGAAAGGAGACCAGAGAGACGGACGAGCUUCUUGCAGACAGAUGCAUUUCCAGGCUGGAGUGCUGCCGCCCCCCCACGCACAAGCAUCCGCUCACCGCCCCCAGCACUGCGCCCCCUACGACUUCCUCUGAGCAGGAGCUUCUGUAGCUGUCGAGCUGCUCAGGCCGCCCUGGCUGGUUUUCAGCCCAAUCCCUGCUGUUUCUGAAGGAGGCUGGAGGUGGAGUAAUUAGCACUUGUUCCCAUGCCAGCGCUGUACCUGGAGAAAUGGGCUGUUGGAACACACGGUUUGGCUGAUGGAUUGCUGACCUCUUGUACUGCCCGAGGCUCGUCUGUGCACUUGAACUUCUCAGCGAACGUGGAGGUAACGUGGGAGGAGGAUGCUGGAACAGAGCCCUCCAGGCAGACUUCCCACCGCUGUGCUGGUAGAGGGUCCAAAAGCAACGCUGGGAGGCUGAACAUGACAAACAGGAGGAUUCAAUUAGGAAGAAAGACCGCGCAUCACCCGCUGGGACCACACUGCCUCAUUCCUCCGCCGGAUUCCAUCUUUGAAAUGUCUUCUGCGCUGCGCUCCCGCCCCCGCUCGCCUCCUUGAAACUUCACAGCUGGGACACAGAGGGACUUUGAAGGGCGGAAGACAAGAGGGAUUUUUCCUUCCUCCGUGGUCAUAUUUAACAGCCAGUUCCCGAAUGGUAUUAAUAAACAUUUCAACUUCAAAAACUGAACUUGACAUUUCUACAUCCUUUCCAUUGUUGCUAUGUUUUUGUCUUUGCCAUUACACAAGUGAUGUCUAUGGUACAUGCAGGAUUAAAAGGGGUUCACAAGUCUCCGGGUUCAGAAAUGUGUGUAUUUGUUGAAGUGUCUAUAGAUCCCUGGGAAGCACUGGGGUGGUCACUGUUAUCCUGGGGAUAGAAUAAUAUAUAGAGAGAUGAGUCCAAAUAUUGAAAACUUUGACAUCAGUACUCAGGGCACAGAAAGACAAAGUACAAAUAUUCUUUUGGCAAAAAGGCUGAGUGGAUGGUACAGGGUUACAGUGGGGGCCAGCUUUCAACCUUG
Molecule: long non-coding RNA, 1394 nt
Filed under: Capra hircus (goat)
Lineage: Eukaryota; Metazoa; Chordata; Mammalia; Artiodactyla; Bovidae
Description: lncRNA (ENSCHIG00000004893.1)
Source: RNAcentral